RNAcentral lists this ribosomal RNA (588 nucleotides) under uncultured bacterium. RNAcentral describes it as "partial 16S ribosomal RNA". It matches the Rfam family "Bacterial small subunit ribosomal RNA", at positions 355 to 1376 of the family's 1533-position model. The record is from RNAcentral.
UGGGGAAUUUUGGACAAUGGGGGCAACCCUGAUCCAGCAAUGCCGCGUGUGUGAAGAAGGCCUUCGGGUUGUAAAGCACUUUUGUCCGGAAAGAAAACGCCGUGGUUAAUACCCGUGGCGGAUGACGGUACCGGAAGAAUAAGCACCGGCUAACUACGUGCCAGCAGCCGCGGUAAUACGUAGGGUGCAAGCGUUAAUCGGAAUUACUGGGCGUAAAGCGUGCGCAGGCGGUCCGCUAAGACAGAUGUGAAAUCCCCGGGCUUAACCUGGGAACUGCAUUUGUGACUGGCGGGCUAGAGUAUGGCAGAGGGGGGUAGAAUUCCACGUGUAGCAGUGAAAUGCGUAGAGAUGUGGAGGAAUACCGAUGGCGAAGGCAGCCCCCUGGGCCAAUACUGACGCUCAUGCACGAAAAGCGUGGGGAGCAAACAGGAUUAGAUACCCUGGUAGUCCACGCCCUAAACGAUGUCAACUAGUUGUCGGGUCUUCAUUGACUUGGUAACGUAGCUAACGCGUGAAGUUGACCGCCUGGGGAGUACGGUCGCAAGAUUAAAAACUCAAAUGAAUUGACGGGGUCAUAGCUGUUUCCUG